ACUAAAACAUGACCCAACAAAACCUAUAUUAAAAAAACAAUUAUUUAUUUACGUCUAAUCUCACUAUCAAUAAAUCAAGUACUAUAAAGGAAUAACAAACUGAACAAAAGUAGUGACACACCCACGUACCUUGUGCAUUAUGGUUUUACAAGAAUAUAAUUAAAUACAAAAUUCCCGAAUUCUACACGAGCUGCUAAAACGCUGUUAAGAACCCACUACUAGUUGUAGCACCAACCUUAGAAAACCUUUUAGCAGAGGCUACAUACCAUGCGCGUAAGAAAAUUGCUGGUUCUCAGUAAAAUUUAUCAAUUAAAACAUGUAAUUACAAUUACAGUGUAACCCUACAGAGGACAAGCCCUGUAAAAAAAGCUUUUUAAAACUAAAAACAAUCUUAUGUAUAGGCCUAAAAACAGCCACUAAAAAUACUUUACCGUAAACAAACCUCUU
RNAcentral lists this ribosomal RNA (447 nucleotides) under Diporodrilus pilosus. RNAcentral's name for it is "partial 16S ribosomal RNA". The record is from RNAcentral. Lineage: Eukaryota; Metazoa; Annelida; Clitellata; Crassiclitellata; Lumbricidae.